CCAAGGAAUAAAGACCAACAGAGGGAAAGAAAUAAACCAGAGAAUGCUGUGGUGUUCCUUGCUAAAUAUACAUGUAGUUAAUGUCCACCAUUUAUUUCGGAAGGCAUCGUCGUCGAAAGCUCGUUGUUUUGUCCCCUCUGAGCUCGCUCGGCCAACGCCAUGGCGUUCUCGCGGCCAUCGUUGAUGGCGAGGGGCGUGCGGCACUCCCGGCUGUUCUCGAACCGGCCUUCGUCGCUGUACACGCUCGCGUUCACGGUGCUCCUGAUGCUGUCUGUGGUCCUCCUCAUUCUCCUCGCCCUCGGCGUCUUCUCCCUUCCCGAAGGCGACGACAUCCACCAUGAUAGAUCCGUUUACGAGACCACAGCGACGUAUCUCAGCGAUGGGAAUGGACUGGGGAAGAGAGGGCCGCAGUGGACGGAGGUCGUCUCGUGGGAGCCCAGAGCGUUCAUCUACCACAAUUUCUUGUCUAAGGAGGAGUGUGAAUUCCUAAUUGAACUGGCAAAGCCUCAUAUGAGAAAGUCGACAGUAGUUGAUAGCACUACUGGUAAAAGCAUAGACAGCAGGGUUCGUACAAGCUCAGGCAUGUUUUUCGGACGAGGACAAAACAAAAUCAUUCAAGACAUUGAAAAAAGGAUAGCAGAUUAUACCUUUAUACCUGUAGAGCAUGGGGAGGGGCUCCAAGUUCUGCAUUAUGGAGUUGGACAGAAAUAUGAACCACACUUUGACUACUUUCUUGAUGAAUUCAACACUAAGAAUGGGGGUCAGCGUAUGGCAACCCUUCUAAUGUAUCUUUCAGAUGUUGAAGAAGGAGGUGAGACAGUAUUCCCUUCUGUCAAGGUCAACAGUAGUUCUUUACCAUCGUACAAUGAGCUAUCUGAGUGUGGGAAGAAAGGUCUUUCUGUUAAACCAAAGAUGGGAGAUGCAUUACUCUUUUGGAGCAUGAAGCCUGAUGCUGUUGUAGACCCAUUAAGUUUGCAUGGUGCAUGUCCUGUGAUUAAAGGAAAUAAGUGGUCAUGUACGAAAUGGAUGCAUAUCCAUAAGUAUGAAGCUUAAUGUAUCUCAUUAUAGUUUGAUUCUUGGGAGUGCAUGCUUUAUUCUAUACAUUUCGAGCUGAAGAUCGUGGAUCACCUAUAAAAGAUUAAGACUGAAAAGCAAUGAAUAAAGGAUAUGCAAAACUGAAGAAUUUUUAGAUAUUCCGCAAAUAAAAUGCACCGAUGUGUUAAGGAGUCGCCUUUCCUAUAUUUAGAGCAUGUGCAUAGAAAACACUCGCGCAUUCCUUCGAAUAAAGUAGGCAACUAUCGCAGUCGAAAAAUAACUCAACAUGACAGCUCAGCAUUUAAAUAGCUAAGGUUUAUCUCCUGGAUCAUUUGGCUUGCAAGCUGUAUCUUUUGGCUGAAGUUUCCAUUCAUCUCACUGCCUAACUGCUUAUGCUUUCCCCUCUCUCUGCACUUCAUCUUUUCCAUCAUAUAGAAUAAACAUGGUUCUUUUCAACCUAUGGUUAAGCUCAUGUGAGACAGUCGUAAAUUUAUUGCUGAUAUUUUAAUUGUGGUCUCAUAUACCCAGCCAUAAAAAGAAUUGAUUUGGGACUGAGAGAUAUAGGAGUGAUAGUUGAGUUGGCUUUUCUUUUUCUUUCUUUCCUUCUUUUUCUUUUUUAACAAAAGGGAUUUUGACUAAUUUUAUGCUGGAUGUUAUACUGUUUUGUAUUAUAGUGACUGAAUUCAUUUGCUAGUCAACAAAUGUGAUGGGAGUAGCGCUUA
Molecule: non-coding RNA, 1757 nt
Organism: Elaeis guineensis (African oil palm)
Lineage: Eukaryota; Viridiplantae; Streptophyta; Magnoliopsida; Arecales; Arecaceae
Source: RefSeq, a predicted model, not a curated record